UGCGAAGGGGGCUAGCGUUGUUCGGAAUCACUGGGCGUAAAGGGCGCGUAGGCGGCUUUAUAAGUCGGGGGUGAAAGCCUGUGGCUCAACCACAGAAUUGCCUUCGAUACUGUAGAGCUUGAGACCGGAAGAGGUAAGUGGAACUGCGAGUGUAGAGGUGAAAUUCGUAGAUAUUCGCAAGAACACCAGUGGCGAAGGCGGCUUACUGGUCCGGUUCUGACGCUGAGGCGCGAAAGCGUGGGGAGCAAACAGG
This 253-nucleotide ribosomal RNA is filed under the name uncultured bacterium. Its description in RNAcentral is "partial 16S ribosomal RNA". It matches the Rfam family "Bacterial small subunit ribosomal RNA", at positions 524 to 776 of the family's 1533-position model. The record is from RNAcentral.